AAUAUGUCUUGCAGAUACUUCUAAAAUUUAUUGGAUAUCUUGAUAAGUCAUCAUAACAUAAUAUCCAAAUGAGUACAAGCACCUGCAAUUUAUUAACUACUACGUCUUCCACAAUCUUCUAAAAUUUACUGGAUAUCUUGAUGAAUCAUCAAAACAUAAUGCCAUGUCAUACAACCAUAGAUCACAGACUUGGAUCAAAGAAGGUGGAGCCAAAGAGGUACUUAAUAAGACAACUGACCAAAUCACUGGACAGAUAACUUGACAACAAGAAAAAGAAGUCUACCUGUUAGGCAUAUGCGGCAUAUGCAUGCUUGGAAAUUGAUAAGGUCUAGAGGCUCUACAAUUCCUAUCACCGUUAAUUCAAGCCUUGCAGGCAAUAUAAUGCUUUCUUCUAGAUGAUCAGUGAAGUAAACUUAGAGUUGUUUGUUCUGAAGCAUGAACCAAAUGGAGGUUUUGGGGGCUUCUGAGCCUUUUCAUCAUGCCAACAUCAUUCUCUAUUGCUUCAAUCUCCCUAUCUAGAAGUCCAUUUUCCUCUUUCAGCAUAAUUUCCUUCUUGUGGAGAACCUUUAUAGACUCCAACAUCAGUUCUGUCUUUCUAGCUCUGGUUUGUGUCAGUGCAGCAUCAAAGUGAUUUUCCAAUUUGAUAAGAUCGGUCAAGCUAAGGUGCUCACGAUUUGGACCCUCAAGCUGCAUUUCAACUAUUUGCAGUAGCUCUGCAUAUGACUUAAAUCUUGAAAAAUCCACUUGAAGGAUCUUUCUAUCAUUAGCACCUUUGAAAGAAGCAGUUUCCCCUUCAAGAUGCCUCUCGUAUUCUUCGAGAAUCUUGUCCAAACUUCCGUUGCUACAGAACUCAUAGAGCUUGCCGCUGCUGGAGAAGAUGAUUACACCAAUUUCAACGUCGCAGAGUACGGAGAGUUCGCGAGCCUUCUUAAUCAAUCCGUUUCUCCUCUUGGAGAAAGUCACCAGACGGCUGCUUUUGUCUUCGAUUCGCUUCAUCUCCACCUUCUUUCGCCCCAUUCUCAAUCAAAAUUCCGACCUAAUUUGCUUGAGCAAGAGCAGAGUGAAGACCAAGAUGAAGACAACUAGAGGAGAAGUGGAAAAACAAAAAGUGAAAGGGGAUGAAUACCUG
This 1129-nucleotide unclassified non-coding RNA is filed under the name Hevea brasiliensis (rubber tree). Lineage: Eukaryota; Viridiplantae; Streptophyta; Magnoliopsida; Malpighiales; Euphorbiaceae. The record is from RNAcentral.